Molecule: ribosomal RNA, 680 nt
Filed under: Escherichia coli
Lineage: Bacteria; Pseudomonadati; Pseudomonadota; Gammaproteobacteria; Enterobacterales; Enterobacteriaceae
Description: partial 23S ribosomal RNA
Rfam family: Bacterial large subunit ribosomal RNA
Source: RNAcentral
GGGUAGUUUGACUGGGGCGGUCUCCUCCUAAAGAGUAACGGAGGAGCACGAAGGUUGGCUAAUCCUGGUCGGACAUCAGGAGGUUAGUGCAAUGGCAUAAGCCAGCUUGACUGCGAGCGUGACGGCGCGAGCAGGUGCGAAAGCAGGUCAUAGUGAUCCGGUGGUUCUGAAUGGAAGGGCCAUCGCUCAACGGAUAAAAGGUACUCCGGGGAUAACAGGCUGAUACCGCCCAAGAGUUCAUAUCGACGGCGGUGUUUGGCACCUCGAUGUCGGCUCAUCACAUCCUGGGGCUGAAGUAGGUCCCAAGGGUAUGGCUGUUCGCCAUUUAAAGUGGUACGCGAGCUGGGUUUAGAACGUCGUGAGACAGUUCGGUCCCUAUCUGCCGUGGGCGCUGGAGAACUGAGGGGGGCUGCUCCUAGUACGAGAGGACCGGAGUGGACGCAUCACUGGUGUUCGGGUUGUCAUGCCAAUGGCACUGCCCGGUAGCUAAAUGCGGAAGAGAUAAGUGCUGAAAGCAUCUAAGCACGAAACUUGCCCCGAGAUGAGUUCUCCCUGACUCCUUGAGGGUCCUGAAGGAACGUUGAAGACGACGACGUUGAUAGGCCGGGUGUGUAAGCGCAGCGAUGCGUUGAGCUAACCGGUACUAAUGAACCGUGAGGCUUAACCUUACAACGCCGAAG